This 435-nucleotide ribosomal RNA is filed under the name uncultured Oscillospiraceae bacterium. RNAcentral's name for it is "bacterial SSU rRNA". It matches the Rfam family "Bacterial small subunit ribosomal RNA", at positions 341 to 792 of the family's 1533-position model. Lineage: Bacteria; Bacillati; Bacillota; Clostridia; Eubacteriales; Oscillospiraceae. The record is from RNAcentral.
ACGGGAGGCAGCAGUGGGGAAUAUUGGGCAAUGGGCGCAAGCCUGACCCAGCGACGCCGCGUGAGGGAAGAAGGUCUUCGGAUUGUAAACCUCUUUCAGCAGGGAAGACCAAGAGACGGUACCUGCAGAAGAAGUCACGGCUAACUACGUGCCAGCAGCCGCGGUAAUACGUAGGUGGCGAGCGUUAUCCGGAAUUACUGGUGUAAAGGGUGUGUAGGCGGAGAGGCAAGUCAGGCGUGAAACUUAUGGGCUCAACCCAUAAAUUGCGCUUGAACCUGUUUCCCUUGAGUGUGGGAGAGGUAAACGGAAUUCCUGGUGUAGUAGUGAAAUGCGUAGAUAUCAGGAGGAACACCGGUGGCGAAGGCGGUUUACUGGACCACAACUGACGCUGAGACACGAAAGCGUGGGGAGCAAACAGGAUUAGAUACCCUGGUA